Molecule: transfer RNA, 74 nt
Filed under: Paludisphaera mucosa
Lineage: Bacteria; Pseudomonadati; Planctomycetota; Planctomycetia; Isosphaerales; Isosphaeraceae
Description: tRNA-Pro
Rfam family: tRNA
About the family: Transfer RNA (tRNA) molecules are approximately 80 nucleotides in length. Their secondary structure includes four short double-helical elements and three loops (D, anti-codon, and T loops). Further hydrogen bonds mediate the characteristic L-shaped molecular structure. tRNAs have two regions of fundamental functional importance: the anti-codon, which is responsible for specific mRNA codon recognition, and the 3' end, to which the tRNAs corresponding amino acid is attached (by aminoacyl-tRNA synthetases). tRNAs cope with the degeneracy of the genetic code in two manners: having more than one tRNA (with a specific anti-codon) for a particular amino acid; and 'wobble' base-pairing, i.e. permitting non-standard base-pairing at the 3rd anti-codon position.
Source: RNAcentral
CGGGACGUGGGAAAGCCUGGGAAUCCGCCUGCCUUGGGAGCAGGAGAGCGUCGGUUCGAAUCCGACCGUCCCGA